This is a long non-coding RNA of Brienomyrus brachyistius, 317 nucleotides long. RefSeq lists it as uncharacterized. NCBI's taxonomy places the organism in Eukaryota, Metazoa, Chordata, Actinopteri, Osteoglossiformes, Mormyridae. The record is from RefSeq and is a predicted model, not a curated record. The transcript is spliced from 3 exons.
ACACACAGGCUGGAGGAGUCUCUCUCUGUAACACACACACACACACACAGGUUGGAGGAGUCUCUCUCUGUAACACACACACAUGUUGGAGGAGUCUCUCUCUGUAACACACACACACACACAGACUGGAGGAGUCUCUCUCUGUAACACACAAACACACACAGGCUGGAGGAGUCUCUCUCUGUAACACACAGACACACACACAGGCUGGAGGAGUCUCUCUCUGUAACACACAGACACACACACAGGCUGGAGGAGUCUCUCUCUGUAACACACACACACAGACUGGAGGAGUCUCUCUCUGUAACACACAAACA